RNAcentral lists this ribosomal RNA (230 nucleotides) under uncultured bacterium. RNAcentral's name for it is "partial 16S ribosomal RNA". It matches the Rfam family "Bacterial small subunit ribosomal RNA", at positions 15 to 240 of the family's 1533-position model. The record is from RNAcentral.
GAUCCUGGCUCAGGACGAACGCUGGCGGCGCGCCUAGCACAUGCAAGUCGAACGAGAGAUGAGGAGCUUGCUCUUCAGGUCGAGUGGCGAACGGGUGAGUAACGCGUGAGGAACCUGCCUCAAAGAGGGGGACAACAGUUGGAAACGACUGCUAAUACCGCAUAAGCCCACGGCUCGGCAUCGAGCAGAGGGAAAAGGAGUGAUCCGCUUUGAGAUGGCCUCGCGUCCGA